CAGUCGCCGCGGUAAUACGUAGGUGGCAAGCGUUGUCCGGAAUUAUUGGGCGUAAAGGGCUCGCAGGCGGUUUCUUAAGUCUGAUGUGAAAGCCCCCGGCUCAACCGGGGAGGGUCAUUGGAAACUGGGAAACUUGAGUGCAGAAGAGGAGAGUGGAAUUCCACGUGUAGCGGUGAAAUGCGUAGAGAUGUGGAGGAACACCAGUGGCGAAGGCGACUCUCUGGUCUGUAACUGACGCUGGGGAGCGAAAGCGUGGGGAGCGAACAGGAUUAGAUACCCCUGUAGUCCCUGUCUCUUAUAC
RNAcentral lists this ribosomal RNA (301 nucleotides) under uncultured bacterium. RNAcentral's name for it is "partial 16S ribosomal RNA". It matches the Rfam family "Bacterial small subunit ribosomal RNA", at positions 509 to 807 of the family's 1533-position model. The record is from RNAcentral.